UUUCUGUGCAUGAAGGAGAAAUAUUAGGGAUUGUUGGAGAAUCGGGAAGUGGUAAAAGUGUCACAUCACUAUCCAUUAUGGGAUUAAUACCAUCACCACCAGGAAAAAUAACAGGUGGCGAAAUACUAUUGGAUGGUAAAAAUCUAGCGGCAUUAUCAGAUAAACAAAUGCAAAAAAUUCGUGGAAAAGAUGUAGCAAUGAUAUUCCAAGAGCCUAUGACCUCCUUAAAUCCCUUAUUUACAAUUGGAGAUCAGCUGAAAGAGGCAAUUUUAAUACAUCAACCAAAGUGGUCAAAAAAGGAAGCGUUUACAAGAGCGAUAGAAAUUAUGAAGCUUGUGGGUUUGCCACGUGCGGAAUCAUUGUUAAAAGAUUAUCCACACCAAUUAUCAGGAGGCAUGCGACAGCGUGUCAUGAUUGCGAUGGCACUUCUCUGCGAUCCAAAGGUUUUGAUAGCUGAUGAACCAACUACCGCUCUUGAUGUAACGAUUCAGGCACAAAUUUUGCAGUUAAUGAAAGACUUGAAUAAACGUUUAAAUACAGCUGUAUUAUUGAUUACCCAUGAUUUGGGCGUUGUAGCAGAAACAUGUGAGCGUGUCAUUGUUAUGUAUGCAGGACAAAUUGUUGAAGAGGCGCCGAUUCAGGAGAUAUUUGCUAAUCCUAAGCAUCCUUAUACGCAAGGGCUUAUUAAAUCUGUACCUGAUAUGCGUUAUAAAAAGGACAACCUUUAUUCGAUACCCGGAAGUGUACCAAAGCCAGGGAGUAUCAAGGUCGGCUGUCGUUUUGCAGCACGUUGCGAUUUUGCAAUGGAUCGUUGUCAACAGGAAACACCACCUUUAUAUGAAGCAGCAGAGCAACAUAAAUCAAGAUGUUUUUUACUAGAGAAGCAGGAGGUGGUGCAGCAUGUCGAAAGUUUUAUUGAAAGUUGAUGGCUUGAAAAAAUAUUUUCCUAUUCGGAAAGGCAUUCUUAAUACACAGGUUGGGGAUGUGAAGGCAGUGGAUGAUGUUUCUUUUGAGGUUUUUGAAGGAGAAACAUUAGGCAUUGUAGGAGAAUCGGGAUGUGGUAAAUCAACUACUGGGCGAUUGUUAAUGCGAUUAAUUGAGCCAACGGAAGGAAAUAUAGAAUUCGCAGGGAAAACGAUUUCAGAAUUAUCCAAUAAUGAAAUGCGUAAGGCACGAAGGGAUAUUCAAAUGAUUUUCCAGGAUCCCUAUGCUUCCUUAAAUCCAAGACACAAUAUUGGGAAGAUAUUAGAGGAGCCGCUUAUUGUUCAUGGUAUGGGUAAUGCUAAAGAACGUAAGCAGAAGGUUUUGGAGCUUCUAGAAACAGUAGGUCUAAAUGAAUAUCAUAUUAAGCGAUAUCCACAUCAGUUUAGUGGAGGUCAAAGGCAGCGUAUUGGUAUUGCUCGAGCCUUGAUGACCAAUCCUCGUUUAAUUAUUGCGGAUGAGCCAGUAUCUGCACUUGAUGUGUCGAUACAGGCACAAGUUUUAAAUUUAUUGCAAAAGCUGCAAAAGGAUUUAAAGCUGACUUAUAUUUUUAUUUCACAUGACUUAGG
This 1550-nucleotide ribosomal RNA is filed under the name Lysinibacillus sp. B2A1. RNAcentral's name for it is "16S ribosomal RNA". The record is from RNAcentral. Lineage: Bacteria; Bacillati; Bacillota; Bacilli; Caryophanales; Bacillaceae.